Molecule: ribosomal RNA, 498 nt
Filed under: Haematomyzus elephantis (elephant louse)
Lineage: Eukaryota; Metazoa; Arthropoda; Insecta; Psocodea; Haematomyzidae
Description: partial 16S ribosomal RNA
Rfam family: Bacterial large subunit ribosomal RNA
Source: RNAcentral
GUCCUUCUGGGCAUUUACAUAGAAGGUCGGGCCUGCCCGCUGCACCCUUGAUGUGAAGGGCCGCAGAACUAUAACUGUGCUAAGGUAGCAUAAUAAUUUGCCCUUUAAUUGAGGGCUAGAAUGAAUGGUUUGACUAGAUCUCACCUGUCUCAGUUAAAUGAGAUUUAAACUUAAACUUUAAGUGAAAAUGCUUAAAUGUUAGGAAAGGACGAGAAGACCCUGUAGAUCUUGAUUUACUUGAAUUUACAUAAUUGAGAGAUGAAAAGUAAUUUUGUCUGGGGCGGAUGUCAAUAACAUGAUUGAAUAUUAAAACAUGAUUGUUGAACUAUUAGACCCUCCACAGCGAGGGCUUAUGAUAAAGUUACCUCAGGGAUAACAGCGCAUGAUAUUUUCUUUUAAGAUCAUAUUGAAUAGAAAAGAUUGCGACCUCGAUGUUGAAUUAAGCUUCCUUUCUGAAGUAAAAGGUAGAAAAGUUAGUCUGUUCGACUAUUAAAAGCU